GACGAACGCUGGCGGCGUGCCUAAUACAUGCAAGUAGAACGCACAGUUUAUACCGUAGCUUGCUACACCAUAGACUGUGAGUUGCGAACGGGUGAGUAACGCGUAGGUAACCUGCCUGGUAGCGGGGGAUAACUAUUGGAAACGAUAGCUAAUACCGCAUAAUAUUGAUUAUUGCAUGAUAAUUGAUUGAAAGAUGCUAUUGCAUCACUACCAGAUGGACCUGCGUUGUAUUAGCUAGUAGGUGAGGUAACGGCUCACCUAGGCGACGAUACAUAGCCGACCUGAGAGGGUGGUCGGCCAAACUGGGACUGAGACACGGCCCAGACUCCUACGGGAGGCAGCAGUAGGGAAUCUUCGGCAAUGGACGAAAGUCUGACCGAGCAACGCCGCGGGAGUGAAGAAGGUUUUCGGAUCGUAAAGCUCUGUUGUAAGAGAAGAACGGGUGUGAGAGUGGAAAGUUCACAAUGUGACGGUAUCUUACCAGAAAGGGACGGCUAACUACGUG
This 505-nucleotide ribosomal RNA is filed under the name uncultured bacterium. RNAcentral describes it as "partial 16S ribosomal RNA". It matches the Rfam family "Bacterial small subunit ribosomal RNA", at positions 28 to 507 of the family's 1533-position model. The record is from RNAcentral.